This 546-nucleotide ribosomal RNA is filed under the name Trigonopterus rotundulus. RNAcentral's name for it is "SSU rRNA". It matches the Rfam family "Eukaryotic small subunit ribosomal RNA", at positions 45 to 571 of the family's 1831-position model. The record is from RNAcentral. Lineage: Eukaryota; Metazoa; Arthropoda; Insecta; Coleoptera; Curculionidae.
UAAGCCAUGCAUGUCUGAGUACAAGCCAAAUUAAGGUGAAACCGSGAAAGGCUCAUUAAAUCAGUUAUGGUUCCUUAGGUCGUACCCACAAUUACUUGGAUAACUGUGGUAAUUCUAGAGCUAAUACAUGCAAACAGAGCUCCGACCGGAGACGGAAGGAGCGCUUUUAUUAGAUCAAAACCAAUCGGUAGCGGGUUCGCUCGUUAUCGUACAACUUGGUGACUCUGAAUAACUUUACGCUGAUCGCACGGUCAUCGCACCGGCGACGCAUCUUUCAAAUGUCUGACUUAUCAACUGUCGAUGGUAGGUUCUGCGCCUACCAUGGUUGUAACGGGUAACGGGGAAUCAGGGUUCGAUUCCGGAGAGGGAGCCUGAGAAACGGCUACCACAUCCAAGGAAGGCAGCAGGCGCGCAAAUUACCCACUCCCGGCACGGGGAGGUAGUGACAAAAAAUAACGAUACGGGACUCAUCCGAGGCCCCGUAAUCRRAAUGARUACACUCUAAACCCUUUAACGAGGAUCAAUUGGAGGGCAAGUCUGGUGCCA